CAUUAAUGGCAUAAAAAGUUUAUUCAAUGAGUACUGUCUUGUUCUUAUAAUGCGAUCUACUUUUGUCAAUACGAUUGCUGUAGAACUGAUUGGACCUACAUAUUUACAACAGUUUAACUGUUUUGUUUCCUUUUUACAGUCCCAAUAUUAUUGCAAUUCGGUAGCAAAGAUGUUGACACCACAUGUUGUCUGAUGAUGAGUUUUACAGGAUCGAAUAAGGUUUGGUCAUUGUAUUCCCUGAAAGGAACAAGAGGAGAAAAGAAACUGGAAGACCUGCAUGCCUAUCCGCAGGCCAAUGCUGGCUGCAGGUCAAUAUUGAAUGCUCUUAUGAAAACUCAUAAGACAAUAACAAAAAAAAGAAGCUGAGGAUGCUGUUUUUAAAACAUGUUCCAUUCAAAAAUGGUGGAUUGAAAUUUAAGAAAGGUGUGACGGGUGCGGCUACUGCAGGCAGGGAGGAUUUGACGGUCAGCCAGAGGAUUUGGAGAUAUACUGUAAUGUCUUUAAUGUGGACUUGCGUGUGAUUUAAG
Mercenaria mercenaria is the source of this 527-nucleotide long non-coding RNA. RefSeq lists it as uncharacterized. The transcript is spliced from 3 exons. The record is from RefSeq and is a predicted model, not a curated record. NCBI's taxonomy places the organism in Eukaryota, Metazoa, Mollusca, Bivalvia, Venerida, Veneridae.